AGGGCAUAGUGAAGGUGUUGUAGUGUAGAGGGCAUAGUGAAGGUGUUGUAGUGUAGAGGGCAUAGUGAAGGUGUUGUAGUGUAGAGGGCAUCGUGAAGGUGUUGUAGUGUAGAGGGCAUAGUGAAGGUCUUGUAGUGUAGAGGGCAUAGUGAAGGUGUUGUAGUGUAGAGGGCAUAGUGAAGGUGUUGUAGUGUAGAGGGCAUAGUGAAGGUGUUGUAGUGUAGAGGGCAUAGUGAAGGUGUUGUAGUGUAGAGGGCAUAGUGAGGGCAUAGUGAAGGUGUUGUAGUGUAGAGGGCAUAGUGAAGGUGUUGUAGUGUAGAGGGCAUAGUGAAGGUGUUGUAGUCUAGAGGGCAUAGUGAAGGUGUUGUAGUGUAGAGGGCAUAGUGAAGGUGUUGUAGUGUAGAGGGCAUAGUGAAGGUGUUGUAGUGUAGAGGGCAUAGUGAAGGUGUUGUAGUGUAGAGGGCAUAGUGAAGGUGUUGUAGUCUAGAGGGCAUAGUGAAGGUGUUGUAGUGUAGAGGGCAUAGUGAAGGUGUUGUAGUCUAGAGGGCAUAGUGAAGGUGUUGUAGUGUAGAGGGCAUAGUGAAGGUGUUGUAGUCUAGAGGGCAUAGUGAAGGUGUUGUAGUGUAGAGGGCAUAGUGAAGGUGUUGUAGUGUAGAGGGCAUAGUGAAGGUGUUGUAGUCUAGAGGGCAUAGUGAA
Molecule: long non-coding RNA, 696 nt
Organism: Coregonus clupeaformis (lake whitefish)
Lineage: Eukaryota; Metazoa; Chordata; Actinopteri; Salmoniformes; Salmonidae
Exons: 3
Source: RefSeq, a predicted model, not a curated record